RNAcentral lists this unclassified non-coding RNA (457 nucleotides) under Gaillardia suavis. RNAcentral describes it as "external transcribed spacer". The record is from RNAcentral. Lineage: Eukaryota; Viridiplantae; Streptophyta; Magnoliopsida; Asterales; Asteraceae.
GGGCAAUUUUCGGAAAUGUAGACCGUAAAGGUGCAUGAGUGGUCAUUGGUUCGUUACAGGUGGUUGGCUCUUUGCUUGCGCAACAACUUCCACCUGGCUUACCUCUUCAUUUAUUUGUUAAGGUCUCCUAGGCUUUAACGAAUUGCGGGUUUCCUGUGUUGUCUACCAAUAUGAUGGUAUUGUUCUUGGCCGAUCUAUGUUACUUUUUGUCCUGCCAUAAAUGUGGCAUAAGAUGAACAAGAUUUGCUUGCUCUUUUAACCACUUCGUUUAUGUCUACAUUGAUGUUGUGGCUAAUCGAGCAUUGCUUGGUAUCAUGGAUAUAGAACCUAUGUGGGCAUUGGAUCUUAAGGAUCUCUGUUUUGCUCUCAAUGAGUUGUUAUGCUUCUAAAAAUGACUUCUUGCAAUGUUUGGGCUUUGUACCGACAUGCGAGUUUGUCAAUGAGGAAUGCUACCUGG